Long non-coding RNA from Coccinella septempunctata (seven-spotted ladybird), 340 nucleotides. RefSeq lists it as uncharacterized. NCBI's taxonomy places the organism in Eukaryota, Metazoa, Arthropoda, Insecta, Coleoptera, Coccinellidae. The transcript is spliced from 2 exons. The record is from RefSeq and is a predicted model, not a curated record.
GUAACGUGUGUACAAUUCGGCGUAUGAUCCAAGAGCUUAGGGAAAAACCUCGAAUGACCUUUUAAUACUGAAGGGCUUCUUUUCCAUUGGGUUAAAAAUUUCCUUAUCCUCUCUUCAUCUCCAAAUUAUGGCUGAAACAAAAAACCAGAGCAGAAAACUAGAAAGAAAAAGUAAAUAAUACAGCCUUCAUUAAAUUGAUUCGAAGAUUUAAUGAUAAGUGAGGAAAUAAUAAGUAAAACCAUGGAAUUUCAUUUUCGCAUCCACCAUUAUUUGUAAUUCACUAUACAGAGACAGAAUGGGUGAUAUGGUUAUGAACUCAUUAAAUACGAAUUUUACCUCU